GAAGUGAUAUUACUACAGACAAACAGCGAUGUAGCUACUAAAUCUUUUGUUCAGUUAUACCAGUUGCAUUAUUUAUCAACGAUCGUUUUCAUUCACCGCUUGCAGAUAAAAAAAUAAACAUACGUUGUGUGGUUCAUAUUUUUGUUAGUACAAAACGCAAUGUCGCAGUUUUUCUACACGUUAUUCAAACCUAUUUUUGGUGUUAAUUGCAGAAACACUGUUGAGUAAAAACAUUAAUUUUUUUUUUAUUUGCAUCGCUCGACAAAUGAGUUGACGUGUAUAUAUAUACAUUUAUUUAUACGCAUAGUGGAGAAAUAUAAAUUAACCGUAAUGACGAGUCGGUUAAAAUUAAACACAACAGCUAUAUCAAUAUGUCUUAACUCACCGUAACUGCCCUUCAUUCACCGUAUGCAAAUUCACCGAAAUUCUUUACACUCCUACGAACGCAGCACUCGCACAAGCAGCCAUCAGGCACGGAAAUCACUUUGCUGAGAAUAAUUGUGCUCUGCGUCAAGAAAAUAUAGUUCCGAGGGAAGAGCGACCGCUUUCAAAGAAAGGUGUCUGAAAUACAGUUAAAACAACCAGUGUUGAUUCAUUAGACGAUCAAACAUCUUAUUUUCAUUGAGUAAUUUUAUUUCCUGACAUUAAUCACUUCCCGGUGUAUGCGAGCGUAAAAGUAGUUCACGCAUUUUUUCCCCCCUUCAAUAUGGUUGUUGUGUACGUUCGAUGUUUAGUUCUAUUUAGUCGUCUCAUUUAAAAAGGUAAAAGUCGUUUCGCAUUCAUUUCGGGUGUUGGGAUGGCGGCUCACCACCUGUUCCGAGGCCACAGCUUCUCGGCCCUGCGCCUCCGGCAUGCGAUUCACCUGUGCGUGGCCCACCAACACGUGUACCUCGACGAGCGCGUGGGCUACAUCAAGCCGGUCGCGUACUGCCGUGCCGUGGCGGGCGUCGCACGUGAAGCCGAGUGAGCUCGGUGAUGCUGAAGGGGGGGCCUGCGUCUAGUCAUAGAUUUACUUCAACCCUUCGUCGUAAUCCCCUACCUCCUUUCUUAACUGAUAGUGCGUGGGGGUUACAUCGCUCCGUGUGGAGUACCCACGAUCCCAAGUGAUUGACGUUUCACCAUCCACUGUGUGUUUUAUCGUCUCGUAUGUUACUCAAAACUUGUACAAAAGUCUUAAAUCAUUCCAGCAAUCUUUAUGGUGUAUUCUAAUUUUGUUAGAUGUGAAAUAUUGUCUUCAGUUUUUAAAUGGUUAAUUUGAAAGGCGAUUGAGCCAUCGUUCAUUCGUUGUAUUAAUGGUGUUUCACUUUCUUUACUCAGGAGUUGAUCUUCACUAUUUCCUCUUUGUUUUAUGAGCUCUUUUGUCUUGUUGCAAGUAAUUUGUUUAAGUUUAAAAAAAGAAGUGAUGGUGUUUUGUUGUUUCUGAUUACUUUAUAUCCGAGUACAGCGUGUAGACUGUUUUCGUGAUAUUGUGAUGUUUCAAGCUAAUGUUAGCAAAUGUACUGCAAGUUUUCUCUUAAAAAUAUUGUUGGAUUCUUGUCGGGAUUCCUUUUACUAUAUGUUCCACUUGUCGGCAGCAUCUUGCCAUCAGCCAACUGAUUACGUUGGCUUAACACUUGUCACUUUUGUACCUCAAUUGCAAGACUGUUAUUUUUGUUUCGUUUGAGCUGGAUCCGUUUCUCAACACCACCUUUCAGGUUUCUACUAAGGCAUGCUAUCCUUUUGUGGACCUGAGGCAUAGAUGUUAGCUGGUAUUUGGAGGGAGCUGCAUACAUGAAGUCUGAUCUUGUAACGUACAAAGUGAUGACGGAUAGAAGAAAAUAAAUCUCAAAAAGCAUUAUGAUAAAGUUUUUUUUAUAUGUCAAUGUUGUUGCUUACAGCAAAUUAGCAAAGAAACUGUUAAUUUAUUUAGUUAUAGUAUAAAUGUAAAAAUCUCACAACAGAAUUGGAACUAACUUAUCUUGCCAUAUUUUUAUGACUGUAUUUAAAACUUGGGAUCAAAGACAGUAUUUUGUAUAGUUAUAAGUUUUAUGUUCAUGCAAGUUAAUUACGAAGACUGGAAUGAAACAUAGUUAAAAAAAAAAAAGGUUGUGUCAACUACGCGUUCAAUAUAGUUAUAGGUAAUAGUCGGUAAUUAUUCAUGAUCAUGCCAAAUUUUCGAUACUUUUGUCAAUUCUGCAUAGUUUAUUUUUGUUAUGUAAAUUGAAAAGCUUACCAAUUUUUUGGGUGAAAUUUUUAUAUACGUACUUGGAAAUGGCACCAAAAAAAAUAAUGGAAAAUUUUUCAUUUUUUUCUGUUAGUGGCAACUUAGCUAAUUUUUUACUUUUAUAAAACUUUGUGAAUAACAAUGUAUAAACAGCUCAAAAACUUAAAAAACUUGGCUUGUUAAGUGAAGACGUUUGUCUGGAACCAUUAGAAUGUUUAACGUGGUGCACAUUAUCCACAAUAUUUUACAAAAUUCCAUUUAGAGUUUAGCAUGCAAGUUUUGACAACACUAAUAAGAUUGUGUUAAACCACCACUUAUUUUAAAAUUACUUAAACAGCUCCUGUUUGCUGUAAAAAGACAAAAAUAUUUUAUUUUAAAAGGAUGAUACCUGUGUAAAGUUCCAGAAAAUUUAAAAAUCAAAAAUGCAUGAAAUUAAAAAAAAAAUCAUAGCAUUUCAUCUCUGAUCUCAAUGUCAAGAUAUUAAACAAUACAACCAUUCAGCUUUAUUUAGAAUUGUAUAUUGUAGACAUUGUUCAAUAAGACCAGCAUUCUUUCUUUUUAAGGCAGUAAUUGUAGUAUAUCAAGCUGGCUACGCAUUUGCAAGCACCGGUACUGAACAGUUACAAUGGGAUAAGUUGUAGGUACCAAGACUUUGGUGUAUAGUGUUGUAAUAAAUUCAUAACUCUGAUAACUGUAAGGUAAGAUAUAAAGAAUGAUUUUAAAUAUCAGAUAAAUAUUUUUCUAUACAGUAGAACCUCGAUUAUCCAUGACCUGAUUAACCGAGCAUUUGGUUAACUGGGUUCUCAAUUAAAAAAAAAAAUUUAAGGGGGUUGGGGGGAAGGAACCAAGCCAACGAAGUGUAAUUCAUUAGGGAAGGGACAACUAAAAACUACGUACAGAAAGGACUGGACAAAGAAAUGGACUAGAAUUGCCAGUGAGAGAAAAUACUAGUCCGUGUUAAGCUGGAUUAAAAGCACAAAACAACUGCCCUUCCUUUCCAGAAUCGCUUCCUGCCCUUCUUGUCAGUAAUACUUGUACAUAUGUUUUGUAUAAAUAACUUAUGAAAUUUUACUGUAUUGUAUAACCUAAAUACAUUUGAAUUCGAUAAUCCGUGAUUUUCGCUUAUCUGUGCUGACCUUCCCCUCAUUACCCCGGUUAAUUAAGGUUCUACUGUAUUUGUUUUUUUUUUUAAACUUUAAUUUAUUUAAUUUACUAUUAUAGUUUAGAGGUUUUGUUGCAUAAACAGACUAUAGUACUAUAACUUAUGUUUGCUAAAAUAGUUUUAUACAAUAGAACUCUAUUUUUUUAGUUCUGUUAUUUAUCAAACCAAAUAAUUGCUCAAGUAAUCUUCCUCGAUGUUUAAAGGGUAUUAAUCCUUCAAUAUAUUUCAAUGUAUUUUUGCUCAUGUUUAAUCCAUCCCACCUGAGAAAAUAUAUUUUAACAAAUAUUACGUGAUGUUUAUUACUGUCUAGUACUUUAAAAUGUAUCAUAAUUGAUUGAAAUUUAUAUUCUGUAUUUGAAUGUAAUGCAUGUUUAUAGGUUAAUAUUUGGAAGUAGUAUGUAUAAAAUUCUCAUUGGAGAAAUAAUGGCACACACAGUAUAUGUUGACCAUUCAAAUUCAUGUUAAGAGAUGCUGUGGGGUUAGCACAGGUAAUGCUAUACAUAAAAGUACUUUAAAACUUUUAUACUUGCAGAAUAAUACCUACAAUGUGAAAGGUACCAUGUACUUUCUUAAUACCUUUUGCAUUUCUGUUAAUAUACCAGCUAAGAUUGUGUACUGCUUUUUUCUCUUACUAAGCAAUAUUUCUUAAUUUAUUUAGACUUCUCAAAAACUUAUACCUGCAUAUUCCUUUACCUAAAGCUGAGAACUUUAUAAGUAAAAUGUACCUUCUGACUUGACUAUGCUAUGUUUGUCCUGAAUUUAGCCAGAGUAAGAUCAGAGACAGCGUGCAAGGGCAUUAAGAUUAAAUAAGUCCAUUUUCAUUUGUGAAUGCCCACAAUCUACACAUACAGCUAUAGUUCUUUUCUUAGUAUAGAUUUGAGUCUCUUAUAGGGUACUUAUUCAGCUAUUAAUUCUACCAGAAAACCUAUUUAAUAUCUGCACCAACCAUUCAAAGUCCUUGUCAGUUGUCAUGGACAGAUGUUCAGCGUCCACAAAUCCCAAGACGGUGCUAACCCCAAACAGUCGUCGUCAAGUGAUCGUCAGUUCGCCUCUUUGGCUGUUGUCAGGAUAUUCUGGCCGCUGCUGGUGCAGUGCCGUUCUAGGAUUGGCUGGUUCUAUGUAAUUUAAUGUGAUCCUUCAAUUAUCAUUUUUAUUCAUACUAAGGUCAUGCACAGCAAAGAAAUGUUGUGACAUUUCUGCUGUCAGAUUGUCUAAAUGUUUUUACUUGUCACUUCCUUUGUAAGAAUGUCUCUACUCCAUCAGUUAAUUCUAUUUUAAAUUAUUGCUCUCAUAUUCAAUAAUUGUUUAUAAGAUUUUUUUUUACACACCUUUAAGUGUGUUAUAAAAUGUUACUUGAUUGUAGCAUAAGCAACUAAAGUUAGCAAAACUGAAUUUCUCCAACUAUGCUUAUUUAUUUUAGCUGUCAGGAAUGAAAGGAAAUUAAUUUCUUGUGAAGAUUUAGUGAAAAAAGUGGUAACUGCUAACUUGGAGCAUUAUACAAUUUAGUUUUACUUUAAAACUAAUUAAUUUAACAUUGUGUGCUGUACUUUUGUUGUGAGAUGUUUGUUAUAAUAUUUGUUAUACUAGCAUAUGAGGUUCAUAAAUAGACGUAAACUGAAUGUUGUUUUAACUCCGGUGUUUUCCGUCUGUUGUAAUAGUGUGUACUUGUCAGAAACAUCUUAGUUUUAAGAAUAACCUAAAUUUUAAUUUUUUUCUUUGCUAUAAUUUAAAAAAAUAUUCACCAUUUUAUGUUUAAUAUUGCGUGCACAAUAUUAUUGUUUGUCAAAGUUCCAUGAGUACAAACAUGAAUAGAAUAGUAUUUAGCUCUAGUUGAAAUACCCAAGUCUGUAAGAAAUUCGUUUAUGCUAGCACAAAAAUAGUAACAGUGAUCGAAAAUUGUGUAAGCUCAUUUGACACCAAUUAAACUUAAGUGUCAAGGAAGCAAUCCAAGUGUCUGUAUAAACAUUUCAGAAAAUCUGGAAAAAAAAAAAAAAAAUCUGAUAUCUGUCAAGUUAUAUAGUAGUAGUAAGGAGCCACAGGAAUACACUUUUGUAUCAAUCUUCAGCAGGGGUGCCAAACUGGUGGUCUACGGGCCACGAAAGGUUGUUUUGUGUUUCACCCUGCUUCCAUAGUGAUGUAUAUAAAACAUACUUGUUCCCAUUUCUACCAAGAUAAAUCAAACAGCAUUUUACAAGAUGCUCAUAAAUAAUGGAGUAUAAAAUAACUUCUACUACAAACUACAUUUUUAUAAAAUGUUUGUGGCAUAAAUGUAUUUAUCGUAAUUAGUAUUUUUGUCUUCAUUUUUCUAUAUUUAAUUAUACCUUAAUAUUCCAUAUUCAAGAGUAAGACUUUGAAUAAACUAAAAUACACAUUUUCAACUGAACAUUAUUUACAUACAUUCAAACAAUAACGAAGUUCUGCAUUUGGUUGGAUAUCAGUAAUUUCUUAAGCAGAAUAAUAUGAAUUGUACACUAUAUAUUAAGUAAUGUUUUAUACUUAACUAGAGACCUGCCUUUGCUUUGCAUGUUAGCAAUCUACUAAUGUGGUGUCAUUUAGAUUUAUUAAGCAAGUACUCUUAAGUACAGUACAAAGUUUGUGUCUGGUGUACUAAUAUAUAUUGCCUAUAACUAAAGAAUUUAUUUGCAAACAAAUUUGACAAUUUUCUCAUGACACUACAAAAAAAUAUUGGUUUAGAAGUCAACACCCGAAAAGGCUACAUAUAGCUGUCCAUGUGAAAAGCACUCUAUGCUUAAAUCUAAUCCUGCAACAUUAAAUGUUUGACCCUGCACUUUAUUUAUUUUAUUUAAAAUGACAAGUUUUACUGGGAAUUGAAGUAAUUUAAAUUUAAAUGGUAGAUUCGUUGGUAUUAAUUGUCAGCGGAAUAAAAAUGACUUCUCCAGUUCAACAAUUGGACAGAAUUGUGAAAUAAAAGAGGUUAAAAGAUAGAAGAUAGAUAUAUACUAACCUGGACUUUUUUUUUUAUAGGACUUUAAGACAUACCAUUCUGUAGCACAUUAAUUUAAUGUAUCAGCAAUGUAUAAGUCAGCAUAAGCCAUGUAAGAACUCUAAAAGCAUAUUUUUGUGAUAUGAUUACAAAAAAUUUUGAUCUCUCCACUAUCUUUCAAUUUAAUAUGAGUGAUACACACAAACCUGAUGGAAUAAAUUCUCUUAAUGAUGGUGAAAACAGCAUCAAAUUACACUGUAGUUUAGAAGAACAAAUAGAUGCGGAUAGCAACUGUUAUAUACUAAGUAGAGAUUUACAUAUAUUACAUUUAUUCUGUAAAACUCUUUUGAAUUAUUUUCAGAUACAGACAUUUAAGAGGGUUUUUUUUUUCCAACCCCUGAUUGGCUGUAAUAAAAAAACGGGAAUGAAUUGGGAAAUUAUUUUAAUGUCAAAAGAAACGUACAUCUUUACUCUAUUUUUCCACGUAAUCACCGUGCAGAUUGAGGCAUUUGUCGUACCGAUGCACCAGCUUUCCAAUACCCUCUGCAUAAAAUGAUGCCUCCUGCCUAUUCAGCCACGUUUUAACAGUGCUCUGCAGUUCAUCAUUGGUGUUGAAGCGUCGUCCUCCAAGCCACUUUUUCAACGUGGGGAAAAGGUGAUAGUCACUCGGUGCCAAAUCCGGACUGUAAGGAGGGUGAUCAAACACUUCCCAUCGAAAUCUUGCAAGGAGUUGUUGUGUUACGGCGGCACUAUGCGGUCGGGCGUUGUCAUGAAGCAAGACAACACCAGAUGUCAGCAUUCCUCUCCGCGUGUUGCGUAUCGACUGUCUAAGCCGUCGUAGUGUCGCGCAGUAUGCAGCAGCAUUGAUUGUUGUCCCUGGCUCCGUGAAAUCAACCAGUAGUACACCUUGGUGAUCCCAGAACACUGUAGCCAUCUGUUUCUUGGUGCUGAAUGUCCGUUUUGAACUUUUUCGGCUUGUUUGGAGAAUAGGUGUGCAUCCACUGUUGUGAUUGAAGUUUUGUUUCUUCAUUAUCGAAAUGAAUCCAUGUUUCAUCACCUGUCACAAUUUGAGUCAAAAAGUGUUCACCAUCGUCUGCGUAACGCAGCAUAAACGACAAGGCUGAUGCCAUUCGCCGUUCCUUGUUGAUGUCAGUCAACAUCUUGGAUAACCAUCGGGCACAGAUUUUCCUGUCUCCAACAUUGUAACAAUGGCGUAUAGGGCUGACCUUGAAAUGAGCGGAAAUUGUUCAGACAGUUCUGAAAUCUUGAAUAGACAUCUCUCACGAACAACUGUAUCAACUCUCUGAACUGUUUCAUCUGUUGCUACAGACUUCCUUCCUUGGCCACCUUCAUCAUGAACAUCAAUACGGCCUUCGCGGAAUUUCCGACACCACUCUCGCAAAACGCCAUCGCUCAUAAAGUUUUCACCGUACACAACACUCAUUCGGCGAUGGAUUUCUGCUGCAGUGUGCCCUUCUGCCUGUAAGAAACGGAUGACUCCACGCAGCUCGCAUUUCGCCGUACAGUUUAUCGUUGCAGCCAUGUUGACAUUCCCAUAACCAAGCUUCAACUGAGGUGUGAGUUGGCCGCUCCACAUGGUUGGUGGAAGGGGGUAAACACUACGAGACGUGUCGAUUCGUUUACGAGCGAUUAGGGUAUCGAUUAAUGGGCAUGCCAUGGAGAAAUGAAACUGUAAUCACACUGCAGGACACUGUUAAAACGUGGCUGAAUAGGCAGGAGGCAUCAUUUUAUGCAGAGGGUAUUGGAAAGCUGGUGCAUCGGUACAACAAAUGCCUCAAUCUGCACGGUGAUUAUGUGGAAAAAUAGAGUAAAGAUGUACUUUUCUUUUGACAUUAAAAUAAUUUCCCAAUUAAUUCCCGUUUUUUUCUUACAGCCGAUCGGAGGUUGAAAAAAAAAUAACCCUUGUAUAUUUCCCCAAAUUUCUUCCCCUCUUUCUCUUGUAAACUUCAGAAACACUUUUAAAUUGUAGAAAGUAUCAGUUAAAAGUACUUUUUUUAUAGUAUAGUUAUAUUUUCCAAUAUCAUCUCGAACCUAAUAUUAUUCGGUAAAGUAUUUAAAAAGUAUUCCACCUGUAGGCUGGAUCUCUAUUGCAAACUGAGUGGUGGUGUGUUUUGUUGGUCAAGUAUUGUAGUUACGAGUUUGGCACCCCAACCAUUCAGGUUGUGUUGGCAUCUUAUAGUUCAGUCUGGCCCACUGGCCAAUAUUGGUUGAUUUCAUGUUAUUCAUUGGUGUUUUUCCUCAAAUAUUCAAUCAAAUGCACAGAAAUCGCACGACCAGUCCUGUUAGCACGGUUGCACAUUUAAGUACAAGCUGUGAUGUUUUAAUUUUAGUGUAUAUGUGCGUUGCAAGGACGUUGCAAGUUAGAGAUCUUUCCAUUUUGGGGGGAGAGCUCUCGAAAGCUGUGUACUUCUUGAGGCUGUGUUAUAAUAAUUGUGUGCAGCUGUUGUUCAGGGCAGUGAUGUAGUUUAAAUGUUGGUGCUUAGAUUAAAACUUUCAUUUUAAGGUUUUGUGUUUGUGUGUGUUAGGUGGCUAUUUAAAGAUCACCUACAUAUUUGUAACUAAAGCUUUUUGUCUUAUUUUGUCAUGGUUACUUACUACUGGAUAACAUUUGGUUAAUCCACUGAUGGGCAAUAGUUAGUCCUAUUUUAGAAAUGUUUUUACUGGAUUUAGCACAAAUACAGAAAAAAAUGUAACAUGGGUUAAGCGUAAGUGAAACGGGCUAAACAAAAAAAAAACUCUUAAAGUAAAUAACUAAAUAAUUUGAGACAAUGUUUGCAUUUAAUGAAACCAUUUUAUAUGUGCAAGUGAUUUUUAUUUAUGUAGACGUCAAUACUGUCUGUGUUUAAAAAUUAAUCCUUUUUAUUUUUGGUAAAAAAAAAUAUUUUUAGCUAGAUGUGGUAUUUGGUAUGUAAUUAUUUAUGAUUAUUUUUAUUUUGGAUAUGAAAAUGAAAUUACUUUCCUGCCCAUUCUAAAAAACAAAACUGAGAUAUAGUAUAUAAAAAAGGCACAGAUAAGAAAUUUUUUAGUUGGUAGUUAGUGUAAUUAUUAGUUACUAGUUGCGCUUGUGAGUUCAUUGGAAUGGAGAAAGUAACUGUCACAGUUUAUUUGGAUUGAACAAACUUAACCCCAUAAGAAUGACAAAUGAGGACAAAAAUUUUUUUAGACCAACAACUUAUGACUAAGCAUUGUAAUGCUUUAAAGAAAUCAUAUUUUGUAUAGUUAUCAUAUCUUCGGAAAAAUUUCAGGUUUAAACACUAAAUUAAUCCUUGGUUUACUUGUGUGAAUUUCAAGUUAAUAACAUGAGCAGUUUAGUAGCUAAUCUUCUUAUACAGAUAGACAAAAAAUGUUUUAACAUAUAUGGUUUAGGUAUUUAAUUUGGAAACGGGAAAAAUAAUAUUUUUAUAAUACAGUGAUUAUUUGUUGUAAUGGAAUUCACUCUGUAAGUUACAGAAAAAGGCCUGGUAUUGCAAUUUCCAAAGAAACUUGCCAAUGUAUUAAAUUAAAUACCCUUAGUUAUAGAUAGCUUAUGUCGAAAUAAGUGGUGAAUAAUGUAGAUAUUAUGGACAUAACUGAACACAUUCUGGAAUAAAUUAAGCCUAUUCAUUAUGAAAUAAUAAUUAUUUACCUAUUUUUGUAAAGAGUACCAUUGCUGUGACUUCAUAUAAAUGUCAUGUGUUUAUUUUAUUGAAACAAAAGUAUAGUUUUUGUAUUUUUUUGUUCUAACAUAAUAAAUUAUGGAAGGUAUGUGUUGUACUAUGAAACAAAAUUAAGCUAGGUUUUAUCUAUUUAAUUGAAUACAUAUACAGGGAAUAGUGCAUAAGAAAGUUAAAACUUUGCAAGCUUAUUGUGUUUCUAUCCUUUGUCAACGGUUAUUUUGAAUGUAGCACUACCGUAACUUGUUUACUACGUUGAAACUUGUACAGGUAUUGUGUAAGUAUAGUAAGUUUGGUUUGAUUUUUUAUGGUUUAUAAACUUCAAACCAAAUGUUGCCAGAUCUAAGUAAGGAUAUUUAUUUUAAGGGUUUAAUUUAAAUGUUAUUCUUUUUUAUGUACAAUUAAGUUUAGGUUUUUUUUACUGUACAAAUGUUAGUGAUAAAUAAAACUGUUCUGUAGUGAUAAUUGACAGUGUCUAUUCAUUCAAUUAAAAUGAUUUUAUAUAGCAGUAUAAUUUUAUUGGUCCAGUAGAUACAUAUGUAUCAC
Long non-coding RNA from Bacillus rossius redtenbacheri, 10529 nucleotides. RefSeq lists it as uncharacterized. Lineage: Eukaryota; Metazoa; Arthropoda; Insecta; Phasmatodea; Bacillidae. The record is from RefSeq and is a predicted model, not a curated record. The transcript has 3 exons.